This 428-nucleotide long non-coding RNA is filed under the name Gossypium raimondii (Peruvian cotton). RNAcentral's name for it is "long non-coding RNA (GRAI_LNC010244)". Lineage: Eukaryota; Viridiplantae; Streptophyta; Magnoliopsida; Malvales; Malvaceae. The record is from RNAcentral.
CGAGCUGUUGCUCGCUGAGGCUCACAAGUUUCCCAGUUGCCAAAAAGUUAGCUCCUUCCAAGGCUCCUGUUGUACUAAAAGACCAGCAUGAUCCGCAUGAACCCUAAUCACAAAACAUAUAAUAAAUUCAUAUAUCAUUCAUAAAACUAAAACUUAUAAUUAAAAAAAAAACAGAAGUAGAAACCUGAUUUUUGACGGGUGUAACAGCUCCUUUUUCCCUCCAGUCAAAAUCUUGAGGCAAAUUAUCGGUAGGCAAAAUCGGAGCCUCAGUUGCAUCUUUAGGCAAUCUCAAUCUCCUUAAUCCCAAAUAUGCCUUUCUGAACUCGCCUGGAGUCAAAUCGGAGAACUGAGUCACCCCGUGAGUCGCCGACGGGUCAAGAUUCUGAUGACGCGCCGCUCGUCUCAGGUUAACCUGAAAAAUCUUGAAC